GUACCGAUUUCUUGGAACUUAAAACCGUUAGCGAAUUGUCAUCGUCGCUUUUCAACCACUUCCCUCCGCCCGCUGACGUGUCAGUCAGACGCGUAGGUGGCGUAAGUCGCGCGGUUGUGGAGUAAUACAUGUCAUGUGACAAAAAUCGUGAAAAAAUGCCUACUGAUUAUAAAAGAAAGACUGACAGAGGUAUGGCGAGUCGCGAAAUAUAUGAUCUAGCAGCAGAAGAAGUAACUUUGCGACAGAAAAGUCUCCGUGACGCGGCUUCGAGUUACAACCUGAACCAUACUUCCCUCUAUAGGUAUAUUAAAAAAAAAACUGCUUAUGAAGCUAACGAAAUCGCAACUUCUCCAACGGUUGGAUAUCCCGAAAAAACUGUUUUUACAGCUUCAGAGGAGAAGAUACUCUGUGACUAUCUUUUAAACUGCGCUGCUGCUAACUUUGGCCUAAAAACUAAGGAAGCCAGAAGUUUUGCCUAUAGAUUGGCUGUAGAAUAUAAUAAAAAAAAUCCUUCUUCUUGGACUGAGCAUGAAAUGGGUGCAGUGUUUGGAAUGCAAAAACCGGGCUCAUGAAGCUUGCACUGGUGGGGAACUUUCGUAUGUUUGCCGCAACUGCUUGUCAGAUUGACGUUUUUUAUUUUUAUUUUUGAAAUUUGUGAGAUUAUUGAUACUUAAAUAUUUGAAGAAAUAUUAAUCAAGACUGAUUGUUAUACUUAAGACUACUUACUUUAAUAAAUACCUUAAAUUAUA
This is a long non-coding RNA of Pieris brassicae (large cabbage white), 749 nucleotides long. RefSeq lists it as uncharacterized. The record is from RefSeq and is a predicted model, not a curated record. The transcript is spliced from 2 exons. NCBI's taxonomy places the organism in Eukaryota, Metazoa, Arthropoda, Insecta, Lepidoptera, Pieridae.